This 460-nucleotide ribosomal RNA is filed under the name uncultured bacterium. RNAcentral's name for it is "partial 16S ribosomal RNA". It matches the Rfam family "Bacterial small subunit ribosomal RNA", at positions 338 to 795 of the family's 1533-position model. The record is from RNAcentral.
CCUACGGGGGGCAGCAGUGAGGAAUAUUGGUCAAUGGGCGUAAGCCUGAACCAGCCAAGUCGCGUGAGGGAUGAAGGUUCUAUGGAUCGUAAACCUCUUUUAUACGGGAAUAAAGUGCGGGACGUGUCCCGUUUUGUAUGUACCUUAUGAAUAAGGAUCGGCUAACUCCGUGCCAGCAGCCGCGGUAAUACGGAGGAUCCGAGCGUUAUCCGGAUUUAUUGGGUUUAAAGGGUGUGUAGGCGGCUGUUUAAGUCAGCGGUGAAAGUCUGUGGCUCAACCAGAGAAUUGCCUGUGAUACUGGGAGGCUAGAGUAUGGUUGAGGCAGGCGGAAUGCGUGGUGUAGCGGUGAAAUGCUUAGAGAUCACGCAGAACCCCGAUUGCGAAGGCAGCCUGCCAAGCCAUGACUGACGCUGAGGCACGAAAGCGUGGGGAUCAAACAGGAUUAGAUACCCUUGUAGUC